RNAcentral lists this ribosomal RNA (332 nucleotides) under uncultured bacterium. RNAcentral's name for it is "bacterial SSU rRNA". It matches the Rfam family "Bacterial small subunit ribosomal RNA", at positions 568 to 898 of the family's 1533-position model. The record is from RNAcentral.
CGCGUAGGCGGUUUGGUCGGUUAGACGUGAAAUUCCUGGGCUCAACCUGGGGGCUGCGUUUAAUACAGCCAGACUUGAGUGUGGAAGAGGGUCGUGGAAUUCCCAGUGUAGAGGUGAAAUUCGUAGAUAUUGGGAAGAACACCGGUGGCGAAGGCGGCGACCUGGUCCAUUACUGACGCUGAGGCGCGAAAGCGUGGGGAGCAAACAGGAUUAGAUACCCUGGUAGUCCACGCCGUAAACGAUGUGCGCUGGAUGUUGGGUGACCUAGUCGACUCAGUGUCGUAGCUAACGCGGUAAGCGCACCGCCUGGGGAGUACGGCCGCAAGGUUGAA